UCUUGCUUGUGGUGUCUUGAUUAAAAACGAACAAACAAACAAAAUCAAAAAAUGCUCUUGUGAGAGGGGAUUGUCAUCAUAUUUGUUUCAUGGAUAAGGAAAUGAGGCUUUAAGUAGCCGAAGGGACUUGCCCAAGGUCUCACAACCAACACAGAGAAGAUGCAGGAAUUGAACUCAGAUUUACUUGACCCCAAAGCUGUGCCUUCCCCAAGACACCAUGCUGUUCCUUUGACUUGAGGAUCAGGAAUAUAGGAUUUGGAGUUUGUAAUUCCAGGAUGUGAGGUCUGAGAGUGCUGGUGCUUUGAGAGUCCACAUUGUCUUGGCUGGGAGCAGUCUGAGUGAGUAACUUGUUUUCAGAGUGGUUACAGUGUUGACAGGGAUUGCAACCUCAGUGUCAUACACCCCCAUUUUCUGCCUUCCAAAAUUAGUGCUCUAGCCUCACAGUAUGAUUUUUGGGGUUUCCAGGAGUGGGGUCAGGUGAGUACUGGAGGACAGCAAGAGUCAUCACAUUAAUGACCCACUGAAAGUCAGGAAAUCCAUGAUCACCUAGAGAUGAACUUCCUGGUUAGGAAGCCAUGACCAGGUGGACCAAUGGAGACAGAGGCUUUUGCCAGUGAGGGCCCCAUAUGUAAAGAGCUGUAACCCUGGGGCUGGGUCUCAUGGGGACUGCUGCCUUUUUUGCAGGAGUGUUCCAGGAGUGGAUCACUGGCUCUUCAAGGAGCUCAGAGCUGCUCUGGGGAGACCUAAGUAUUUGGGGACUUCCCCAGGAUGCAGAUAUGUAAAGGGUCAACCACGACACAGCAGCAGAAGUAGAAAAGAAGAGGCCUGUUCAUGAGCUUUUAAGAGACUGUAAGCUCCUUCAAGGUGGGCUCCUCAUCCACAUUUGGGUCCUUCUCUGUACCAGAGACGGUGCUGACCAGAUCUGCUGGUGACCAGGAGCUGCUUGUGGAGUGAAUGAAAGAUUCAAGGAGAGCUCAACCAACUGAGGAACUUCCAGCUCUCACCUCCCUGCAG
Molecule: long non-coding RNA, 1014 nt
Organism: Manis pentadactyla (Chinese pangolin)
Lineage: Eukaryota; Metazoa; Chordata; Mammalia; Pholidota; Manidae
Exons: 3
Source: RefSeq, a predicted model, not a curated record